RNAcentral lists this ribosomal RNA (436 nucleotides) under uncultured anaerobic ammonium-oxidizing bacterium. RNAcentral describes it as "bacterial SSU rRNA". It matches the Rfam family "Bacterial small subunit ribosomal RNA", at positions 383 to 810 of the family's 1533-position model. The record is from RNAcentral.
GUGACGAAGCGACGCCGCGUGUGGGAAGAAGGCCUUCGGGUUGUAAACCACUGUCGGGAGUUAAGAAAUGCAAGGAUAUUAAUAGUGUCUUUGUUUGACUAAGGCUCCGGAGGAAGCCACGGCUAACUCUGUGCCAGCAGCCGCGGUAAUACAGAGGCGGCAAGCGUUGUUCGGAAUUAUUGGGCGUAAAGAGCACGUAGGCGGCUAUGUAAGUCGGUUGUGAAAGCCUUCCGCUCAACGGAAGAACAGCAUCCGAUACUACAUGGCUUGAGUGCGGGAGGGGAGAGUGGAACUUCUGGUGGAGCGGUGAAAUGCGUAGAUAUCAGAAGGAACGCCGGCGGCGCAAGCGGCUCUCUGGACUGCUACUGACGCUGAGGUGCGAGAGCUAGGGGAGCAAAAAGGAUUAGAUACCCUUGUAGUCCUAGCUGUAAACGAU